UCUAGAUCAUCCGGCAUUGGCAAGAGCUUAUAUCCAGGUUUUUCCUGACAGGGUUGGCCGGCGCGGCCUGCAUCCCUUUUCUGUAUAUCUUGUCCAGGCAGAUUCCUGCGAGCUCGAUUGAUCUUGUACUGCGCAAGAUGUCUUAUCUAGCGGGAGCUCUCCUCUGUCGCCUGGUUGCGACCGCCAGCUUCUUUAGCAAGGUUUCUGGCUUCCCAAGAGGCUCCAAGAAAAUGCUAUCCUCGCGAAGCGGCAUAUUUGUGCUGUUGGAGGAGAGAAACAGUGACGGACGUGGAGUUGGCUGCGCCAUUUCUCAAACCGGCAGUUGCUUAAACAGCACUAUCCGCAAGACAUCUCCAGGGGCUAGAUCCGAUCUGCUGAACCAAGAAAUGAUCUGUCCGCGCAUCUGCCCGAAAUGCUGCAAGCCGAUGAGACGGCGGGAGGCUGAUCGCGCCAUGACAGGCGGUGUGGAACUCAGCAGCAAUGCAGCGGCAGAGAAGACGGAUUUCGAGUCCAUAAAAGACGCUUCUUGGCAAAUUGUGGACUUUGAACAACCGUCCGAAAAAGAGAAAGGAAUAAUACUUGAAUCCCAGUGCAUGCCAGACGCAACGGAGUGGGUAGUGUUCAUCUAACUUGGCGGUGGGAGAGUUCUUUACACUUUGCCAGGAUAAAGCCUGUGAUUCAAGAGUCAGUGCGUUGUCUUGCGUAUACCGCGUGAAACAAACAUUAGGUAUGGCAAUUGGUGAAAGUGGCCGUGCUACCUGUUACCGUAUAAACUGUAGACUACCUAGCUGACCAACCGUUCACAGUAAUACGUAGCAACUUCGUUGAGGAGCUACAAGGCUGAGAAUGCAGGUGAAAGCAGAACUGAAUGUGUGCUUGCCAGUUGCCUGCGCGUCUUAUAAACAACUGCUGCAGUGAUAUUCCAUGUUGAGAUUGCAAAUGUGUGCAAAGGCGAAAGAAAUGUAGAACUUUAUCCGUUGAAAAGCCUAAGUUGUACUGGUGACGCCUUACUUGCUGCCUUUAGGGCGGGCUCGUGGCAGCGGGUGACUCUAACGCUGACAGCGCCCCCCUGUGCAAGAAACCAUCUGCGGCAAUGCAGUCUUGCAGUUCCUACAAUAUGAGAAAGCAAUAUUUUGCUGUAAAGUACACAGAAGACCUCAGAGGUAUGUAGUGAAAAACUGCAGUUCAGUUUGACUGCUCCGUGUCAACCUGCACUCCCGCGGAACCAUGGUCUGCUGAGCUGUUUUGAAGGUGAUGUUGAAGAUCGGUAAACAGAAUAUGUUUUGAUGCGGACAGAUCACGCGUCCGAAGAAGUCCCUAUCUGUUUUGAUGGCCCUUUCGAUCUCUGCCGCAUUCAGCCACAUGAGACUUUUUGACGACUUCACUCGCGUGUCAGAACUCAAUGAGAAAUAACAGAAAGGGUGCUUGUAUCGACAAGUUUGCCGUUUCUCCCGGAAAGGAAAGCAGCGGCUGCUCACGCGGAGCAGAAACAGCAGCUUCACAAGGUGUUUCAAGACACUACUGCCGUAGUCAAAACAAUUUCGGCGCCGAAGUGUGACAGUUUGUUUCCCCGUUGACAUCCCCAGUACCUGAAACGCGUCCUCCGGAUUUUGCCUCGAG
Molecule: long non-coding RNA, 1620 nt
Filed under: Toxoplasma gondii VEG
Lineage: Eukaryota; Apicomplexa; Conoidasida; Eucoccidiorida; Sarcocystidae
Source: RNAcentral